UACAUAAACUGAAAAUAUAUUAUAUCCACCAAAAGCUCUGGGGAGCCAACUUCUCCCAUGCCCCAUAUCUCUAGAGACAAUCUCCUAGAUUUGUUACACAUCUCAACUCAAAUUAAAAUAACAAAGUAAGCAAAGAAAAAAAUCAUCAAGAUUUGGGUUAUAAAGGAAGGAAAAUAGGUUGAGAGGAAUUGGAAUCAUGGAAAGGAAGAGAUUGUAAAAUAGGAAGUCGGAUUCUUCCUGGAAAAGGCGCCUGAGAGAAGAGAUGUUCCACAACUGCGGCGAGCACCACCGUGUAUUCCUUCACCAUUUC
Molecule: long non-coding RNA, 310 nt
Filed under: Brassica napus (rape)
Lineage: Eukaryota; Viridiplantae; Streptophyta; Magnoliopsida; Brassicales; Brassicaceae
Description: long non-coding RNA (BNAP_LNC018220)
Source: RNAcentral